Molecule: ribosomal RNA, 330 nt
Filed under: uncultured bacterium
Lineage: Bacteria
Description: bacterial SSU rRNA
Rfam family: Bacterial small subunit ribosomal RNA
Source: RNAcentral
CGCGUAGGCGGACAGUUUAGUCGGGGGUGAAAGCCCGGGGCUCAACCCCGGAAUUGCCUUCGAUACUGGCUGUCUUGAGUACGGGAGAGGUGUGUGGAACUCCGAGUGUAGAGGUGAAAUUCGUAGAUAUUCGGAAGAACACCAGUGGCGAAGGCGACACACUGGCCCGUUACUGACGCUGAAGCGCGAAAGCGUGGGGAGCAAACAGGAUUAGAUACCCUGGUAGUCCACGCUGUAAACGAUGAGUGCUAGUUGUCGGCAUGCAUGCAUGUCGGUGACGCAGCUAACGCAUUAAGCACUCCGCCUGGGGAGUACGGUCGCAAGAUUAAA